CGCAAGCCUGAUGCAGCAACGCCGCGUGAGGGAUGACGGCCUUCGGGUUGUAAACCUCUUUUAGUAAGGAAGAAGGGAAGCUUGCUUCUUGACGGUACUUGCAGAAAAAGGACCGGCUAACUACGUGCCAGCAGCCGCGGUAAUACGUAGGGUCCGAGCGUUGUCCGGAAUUAUUGGGCGUAAAGAGCUCGUAGGCGGUUUGUCGCGUCUGCUGUGAAAUCCCGAGGCUCAACCUCGGGCCUGCAGCGGGUACGGGCAGACUUGAGUGCGGUAGGGGAGAAUGGAAUUCCUGGUGUAGCGGUGGAAUGCGCAGAUAUCAGGAGGAACACCGAUGGCGAAGGCAGUUCUCUGGGCCGUAACUGACGCUGAGGAGCGAAAGCGUGGGGAGCGAACAGGAUUAGAUACCCUGGUAGUCCACGCCGUAAACGUUGGGCGCUAGAUGUGGGGACCUUUCCACGGUUUCCGUGUCGUAGCUAACGCAUUAAGCGCCCCGCCUGGGGAGUACGGCCGCAAGGCUA
RNAcentral lists this ribosomal RNA (518 nucleotides) under uncultured Actinomycetes bacterium. Its description in RNAcentral is "bacterial SSU rRNA". It matches the Rfam family "Bacterial small subunit ribosomal RNA", at positions 376 to 896 of the family's 1533-position model. Lineage: Bacteria; Bacillati; Actinomycetota; Actinomycetes. The record is from RNAcentral.